AUUGAACGCUGGCGGCAGGCCUAACACAUGCAAGUCGAACGGUAACAGGAAGCAGCUUGCUGCUUCGCUGACGAGUGGCGGACGGGUGAGUAAUGUCUGGGAAACUGCCUGAUGGAGGGGGAUAACUACUGGAAACGGUAGCUAAUACCGCAUAACGUCGCAAGACCAAAGAGGGGGACCUUCGGGCCUCUUGCCAUCGGAUGUGCCCAGAUGGGAUUAGCUAGUAGGUGGAGUAACGGCUCACCUAGGCGACGAUCCCUAGCUGGUCUGAGAGGAUGACCAGCCAACCUGGAACUGAGACACGGUCCAGACUCCUACGGGAGGCAGCAGUGGGGAAUAUUGCACAAUGGGCGCAAGCCUGAUGCAGCCAUGCCGCGUGUAUGAAGAAGGCCUUCGGGUUGUAAAGUACUUUCAGCGGGGAGGAAGGCGAUAAGGUUAAUAACCUUGUCGAUUGACGUUACCCGCAGAAGAAGCACCGGCUAACUCCGUGCCAGCAGCCGCCGUAA
Molecule: ribosomal RNA, 506 nt
Filed under: uncultured bacterium
Lineage: Bacteria
Description: partial 16S ribosomal RNA
Rfam family: Bacterial small subunit ribosomal RNA
Source: RNAcentral